AGACUAAGACUUAGCUUAUAUGUUGUUGCCUAUUUCAGCAUAUCCAAAAGUAAUUCAGCAUAUAUAGUUUUGAAAGUAUAUUGUAAGAAAAUGCAAAACAAAUUAAUGAGAUUAAUAUGACAUAUAUUACAUAGAAUGAGCUUUUCGUAAAGUCGGUUUAAAGAGGAGGUCUACCACAGCAAUAGGGACCAUCACAGCAACAGAAGAUACAAGCAAGUUCCUUAGGAAUAGUCCAUGGCAUAUACCAGUAAAUUUUUAUUGAAUAUCAGUUUCUGAUAUGCCAAUAGUGCAGAAUAUAUUGCAUCCUAAGUAUGCAGAAAACAAGCACAAUGGUUAACUAACAACUAAGCUUCAAAGUGUAAAAGAAUAUCUUGCAGAUAUCCUUUGGUAGAGUUCUGCAUAUUACAUAUUACGGACACAGAUUCUAUGCAGUAACUUGUCACAUAAUUACUAUCUUCAACAGUUCAAUCUAAAUCAACUG
RNAcentral lists this long non-coding RNA (481 nucleotides) under Trifolium pratense (red clover). RNAcentral's name for it is "long non-coding RNA (TPRA_LNC001302)". The record is from RNAcentral. Lineage: Eukaryota; Viridiplantae; Streptophyta; Magnoliopsida; Fabales; Fabaceae.